GAUGAACGCUAGCGAUAGGCUUAACACAUGCAAGUCGAGGGGCAGCACAAGGUAGCUUGCUAUCUGGGUGGCGACCGGCGCACGGGUGCGUAACGCGUAUGCAACUUGCCCUAUACAGGAGGAUAACCCGUCGAAAGACGGACUAAUACUGCGUAUGCUCACAACUUGGCAUCAAGUGGUGAGGAAAGAAAUUCGGUAUAGGAUAGGCAUGCGUCCCAUUAGCUUGUUGGUGAGGUAACGGCUCACCAAGGCAACGAUGGGUAGGGGAACUGAGAGGUUUAUCCCCCACACUGGUACUGAGACACGGACCAGGAUCCUACGGAAGGCAGCAGUGAGGAAUAUUGGUCAAUGGGCGCGAGCCUGAACCAGCCAAGUCGCGUGAAGGAGGACUGUCUUAUGGAUUGUAAACUUCUUUUAUACGAGAAUAACAAGAGUCACGGGUGACUCCCUGCAUGUACCGUAUGAAUAAGCAUCGGCUAACUCCGUG
This 487-nucleotide ribosomal RNA is filed under the name uncultured bacterium. RNAcentral describes it as "partial 16S ribosomal RNA". It matches the Rfam family "Bacterial small subunit ribosomal RNA", at positions 28 to 507 of the family's 1533-position model. The record is from RNAcentral.